RNAcentral lists this ribosomal RNA (4432 nucleotides) under Triticum aestivum (bread wheat). Its description in RNAcentral is "partial small subunit ribosomal RNA". The record is from RNAcentral. Lineage: Eukaryota; Viridiplantae; Streptophyta; Magnoliopsida; Poales; Poaceae.
CUCCGAAAGCGGGCCCCGUGUACUUACUCGCCCAUUUACGGACCCUCCACGUGCUCCCUCUAAGUCUCUUUACUCUCCUGGUAUACGGGGACAUACUGGGUGACGUGACUUACUAAUGAACUCGGUUUUCGUCAUGAUAAGUCUCCGUAGAACCCCCGGUUUUCACAUAGAGAACUGAACGACAACGACCAGAAGGAGACAUAGAGUCAGGAGUAGAGGUGGUGGCUGUCUCACGAGGGAAGGAGAGUAGAGUCAGGAGGAGAAGAGGUAACGCGACGGACCCUAUUCUAGCUAGGCGGAACAACAAACCACUCGAGUAGGUUAGAGGCGGGGACUGUGGACACCUCGUCUCACCUUGUCGAUCGUUCUUGGUGACUCAAAGGCCAGUAAUAAGUCUCGUGGUGUGUAGCUUAGGUGACUGGACUAACUCACUUCGCUGGAGGUGCUUCGCGGCAGUGCCUAGACCGGAGACCACGGGUCGGCGGCGAAAGCGAAGGUCAUUCUAAGGUCCCACCCCAGCACCCCGAGACAUAGAUAGAUCAUGCCUCAUGGUUACAUAAGUUCGUCAAAUGAGAGAACUGGCGACAACCUGAAGGAGACAGGGCCGAAGGUAACACGACGGAACUUGUCUAGGUAGGCGGAACAACGACUAGAGUAGGUUGGAGGCCCCACGAUCAAAGGUCACUAAUAAGUCUCGUGGUACGAUAAGGAGACGAGGAGCAGAGGCGAAGUAGAGCCAGAGGAGGUAACGCGACGGAGUAGGUUGGAGGCACCUGUAAAGCCCCACGAUCAAAGGUCACUAAUAAGUCUCGUGGUACGAUCGCCGGACUAGCUCACUUCGCCGGAGAUACGUCGGCGACACAAAACGAGACAAGACAAGACAAGACGAGACGGUAGGCUGCGACUGCGGCGCUGACAAAAGACGAGACGGCACUUCGUAGUUUCCAAAGGCCAGUAAUUAGUCUCGUGGUACGUAUCUUAGGUGACUGGGCCGAUAUUCAAGAAUAUUCUAUAAACCACGGGUGUCGCGCUGGCAGCCGGCAAACACAAGACGAGAGGACACUUCGUAGUUUCCAAAGGUCGACUAACCAGGUCUCUCGAGAGUACCUAUAACAGUGCUCACGGUAACGGUUCGACUAGGGGUUCGACCGGCUGGAUGAACACCCCCUCAUGUUCGACGUGUUCUUGCAGUUCUUUUUAUAGCUCCUGGAGGACUUCCUCGAACUCUCGUACUUGCAACGGGAGUAGUUCUAACCACUCCACGGCGCCCUGGUCGAGCUGUUUGUUCUGUUCGAGACCCGGCUACUACAGUCUCUCGAGAGGAUACAGUAGCUCCUACAGCAACUGUUCAAGGAGCAUGCUCAGCUGGUGUAAGUCGGACUGCUGCGGUGUUUGUUUAAGUUCCCCGAGUACUUCUCCUGCUGGUUCAACGACUUCUUUCAGUUCCUAUUCAUACCCUAUCGAGUGCGUUAGUUCCUGUAGGUCCUCGUUGAGGUCUUCCACCGGCGAUCCGCACUGUCCUUGUUCCAUCAACAAGGAUUAGGAUGCCUUGGUUAAUGAUAACUAGGAACAGAAGCUCGAAACAUGCGUCUUCGCUGUCUCGAUCAACCGUAUAUACCCUUCUCCCUGCUCCUCGAGUACUCCAACGAGAGGUACCUCCCACUACUACGGAGAUUCUUGUCUGAUUUCUUCCAGAGGUAACAACCUAAACCUCCUAACCCGUUUUGGUGAGAACGAUCUCGUCAUAUGCUCUUCUAAUUUCCACUAAAGCUAACAGCCCGUAAACAAGGGCAGCCAGUCUUGGGACUGUACUUCUUCCAAAAUUCCCUAUAGGAGUAACUAGAGUCGCUGCCGUUGGGAGUCAGUCUAGAAAGUUAUGACCUACAAUUAGUAGAAUAAUUUUUCGAAGUAGUUAAGGACCUCUUGUUCUCCAUAGAACAGUAUUAACUACUAUAUACCCUACUUUUUAACACCCUUGUGUAGUUGAAACGAAAGAGGUUGUCCUUAUUAGAUCCGUCAGCUGAUUAAUGCUGUUGGGCGUAACAGUCACAGAGGUUAAGUACAACGAGCAACCUGGUACUAAGCCAAAUAGUUUACCUUGGUGAAAGACAACUACUGAGGUCUUCUGAGAAGAUGUUUUCUUAUAAAGGUAAGCUCUCACCUACAGGUUUACUUAAACUUGUUCACAGAUGUCUAUAAGACUUCUUUACACCACCCCAUGGUGAUCGGUAGUAAUGAUAACGAUCACGAAACCGACCACCGGUCUUCCACUUUGGUUUCACACUCACCCUACAAGACGAGGUUAGGGAACCGAGACCUGAUUGUCUUCUAUUAUCAAAUCUCCUCUACGCCUCUUAUGAGAGAAAGUCGAUAAUAUUAGAUGGCAGGGUAGACUUUUGAACAGAUGAUAUGGAUACAUAUAUAGGUCUUCUAUCGUGCUAACUAUCUCUACCUGACUAUACCUUCACCCACCGGCUUCCUAAACAGGUGGUACCUCUAGUUCCCUGGUCGGACAAAAACCAGCCUAACUUGAUGAAGUUGGUCGAGUAAUUAUCUUCAUACUAGGUCGGUUAUAUACUAGGAGAGCCGGUCCAUAUACGAACGGCACAUGUACUAUACCAAGACCUGGAAUAGACGUUGAACAGUGUACUUCGUUUCAAACAAUUAGAUAACCUACCGUGACCCUUAGUGUAGUACAGAAGUGUUUCAUUAUAAGCAGCAAACAGAGAAGUCUUAUUUUUACUUCUGGUAGUUCGGUUCGGAGAGUGUUUAUAGUACUCGUACAGUGUUCACUCCAGUUAAUGGUAGAAAGGUGGACGACAAUCAUAGUACGGUUCAGACAGUUACAAACUUCAAGACGCACAUGAACUAGACAGCGUAACAUUAGACCCUCUUUCAUCGUCGGACGUCGAAUUGGAGUUCCCACAACCUGUGAAUUAAGUGGAUUCCAUGGAACCAGAUAGUCCAUGGUUUUAGUCAUUCGAAGGCCGACUCUAUCCUUUGGACGUCAAAAACCUCCACAACCUAGAACCUUUGUUACUAUUCGAUCUACUUAACGGCAGGUGACAAACAUUAAACUCUUCUAAUUAGAUGGAUUUACAAAAAAGGUCAUUCCACCAAGGUUGAGGACCACACAACGUCUUAGACUGUAGGUAACUUCACAACUCCCCUCAGAACCAGAGAGACUUGUAAUAACGUGUUCUCGAACCGUUUGACCGUUCCGACUCCCUCGAAGUCUAAACGUAGUUCCUACCAUCAAACCUAAACAUACUUACAAAACACUUCAGAGACACGUUGGAUCUAGUGUAGCUUUCGGAUAUAUAAGCAACGUUAAGGCUUCUUUGUAGAAAACUUGACUACCUAGAGAACCCUCUUACGACCCACGGAGGACAUGUAGAGGCGUUUAAACACAGAAGCUGCGGAUGGGUUGAGAUACGUGACGUUCCCACCUAUUUCUCUCUGGGGAGCGUAGAGAGCUUGGAGAGACUCAAUUAGAAGAUAAGUCACUUCCUUCACGUCGUCCUCCUGCACCUUUAGUAACCCCCCAACAACAGGGAAGCGGCAGAGACGUAUUCCUCGUGGGUGGUUUGUGUUGCCGACGAUCAGUAGGCACGGCUACCCAAGGCGACAUACCAUCUGAAAAUGAACUUAACACCCAGUCGUCGCGUCUAGUUCAAACUUGGUCCUCGGAACGGUUCCCGCCUUCUUCAAUGCAAGUCGGACCCGCACGCCCACCGCUUUCUCCUACCUUUGACACCAAAGCUGAACCCGGACGUCCCCUUGGACGAGAGGGAAGCCGCCGGCCAGUACCAAACCUACAUAACACCACCUCGCUCCCAACCCCUCCGUUUCCUUCGCCUCCGACGCCACUCCGCGCGGGAGCUUCGGGUAGGGUUGGUAGGGUCCUAAAUAUAACUGUACACCGGCGCAUAUCGUCUUCUACGAGUACUACUGCUAAACACACUCCUGCUCCUCUUGACUAAAGACUAGGUCUCGCAGAGUGUAACGUAGUCUACACGAGAGUCCAUCGUCCCCGCGCCCCAAUGACGACCACCCGUGGCCGGCACGCUUCUUAACUUCUACCCUUUCAAAGCUCGAAGCGACCUUCAACACACUACACCAAGAAAAUUUACCGUCGACGAACGUCUUUCUCUAUAACGAACCAAAACAUUACUUAUUCAUUUCUCACAACAUCACUUAACUAGGAAUGUUCCUAUCGAACGAAACGAAGUCAACUCCCGGUAGCAACGACGAGACAAAACGAGACAAAAAACAAAAAUUCGACUUGGUCUCUUGGAAUUCCAUAUAAAAGUCAAAGCACUAUUUACUUUACCCCCCGAGGAAAAAGCCAUUUUUUUUCGAAAAACCAUUUACCCCCCGAGUGGACUCGAGGAAUUAAACUUAUUUUUGACGCCGAAUGCCAACCCUAAAA